RNAcentral lists this long non-coding RNA (6106 nucleotides) under Olea europaea subsp. europaea. Lineage: Eukaryota; Viridiplantae; Streptophyta; Magnoliopsida; Lamiales; Oleaceae. The record is from RNAcentral.
GCAAUUCUGACAUUCUACCCGCACGCGAAGGAGUACGGUCUCUGUAUCUGUAUAUAAAUGCCCAAUUCUUUUCUCUUGCGUUAAUCUCAGGCAGUCUCUCUAACUUUUCACAAGAUUCAUCUCUCUGGUAUGUUUCACCGUAAUUAUAUGUGAUGCAUGCCUACUUGCAUAAAUGUAUUAAUGCAUUAAUGUAUUUUCGUUGUAAUGUUCUUUUUACAGGUUUUUUUUGACGGAAAUUUGUUUUUCGACCCGAUGUUUGUUGUUUUUAUUAAUAUCUAAUUCGAAUUUAUAAGAAAUGAGAUCUUUUUUCGAUAGGUUUGAGCUAAUAUUUAGCAGAUUUAGGGUCGUGUUAUUGUUUUGUGGAAUUUUUGUCAUGUUCUGAUUUGAUCUGAAGAUUUUUGCAUCUCAUUAUCACGAUUCAUAUACUUAUCCACCCUUUAUUGAAUUACUAGUUCGAGAAUGGAGAUUUUAAUUUUUUUCUAAUGUUUUUUCCUCUUAGAUCUAUUUGAUCUGGUGAAAUUUUAUACUGAAAAUGGUUUAUAAUGUUAUUAACUGUAAGUUUUAGGCAUUUUCCUCUUAUUUGUUUGCAACACUGUCAUUUUUUGUAUGUGUGAUUAAAUAUCAUGUAUGUAUUGUGGAAUGUGGAUUGAUUUCAUAAGAAAAUCAAAUGCCAAGGAAAGCAACAUGAUAUGACCUAUUGUUGUUUUGUGAAGAGUUGCUUGAUGUGAUGUAAUGUGUGUGUAUAGUUGAAUAUAUAACGCUAUUCAUCCACAAGCUAUACAUUUAAAUUCACAUGCAUCUACAUAGCUGAUUGGUGUGGUAUGCAGUUAAUGUCGAUCAUUGUAUGUGUACACCGUUGGGUGUUGAAGGAAAGAGGUUAUGAAAGAAUAGGAGAUUUUACUUAUGGAAUUUGAGAGUUUUACAAACUGAAUUCUCUUUUUUUCUUUUUUCUUUUUUUAAAUUUUUACAUUUUUCCCCUUUUUUUACACUUCUCAUAUCUCAUCAACAUUAGAUACAUACCUUUCCCUUAUAGAGAAAAUGAAAUAAUCUAAUUCUAAGAAUUUUCUACCAUUAUGACAAGAUACUAGUUGUAAUUUAUCCUCACUUGUAGCUGUAUGUGUUCUCUAGAUUGUUCAAAGCUGCUGAUUGCAGCUGAUUUUCAAUGUUCUAAUAUUCAAUUUGAGCAUAUAAAUUGAAUUGUAAAUCUUUUCCAUUUGACCCUUCCUUGAAUCUUCCAAAGUUAUUGAAGUGUUCUAAUUAAAUUUGAAUUCUUUGAAGAUUACAAAUUAAUUUAAAACUUUUAACACCCCUCUUAAUUUGUAAUCUUCAAUUGCUUCUUGAAUUUCUCGAACUUAUUAAUUGUCACUAAUUCAAAAAUUUUCGAUAGUAUUGCCUAUGCCUUCGUUGGGAAAAUAUCACUCAUUCUUCCAUUGGGGACAGGUGCACGAAUGACAACUCCAAUUGUCACACAUCCGCCGCCUACCUACCGUUUAGGUGAUGAGUCUAAAUAAUAGCGUUUACAAAAUCUAGAUAUAGACAAAAUUUACAAUUUCUCGAGAUGUGUUUAACGAAAGUACAACUUGUGAUUGGAAGAGCAAUCAAGUCAGAUUCCGGACCAUAUCAGUUUGGUGAUCCAUCGACAUCUCAAAAUUUUGACAUUGAGCAACAUUUAGCUCCAAAUAUUCCAACAAUUGAAGAAGAAUAAGAAACCUCUCCAAAAAAGACACGUUCACUAAGAGAAAUCUAUGAAUUACAUAAACUCAGAUUAUUCUCUUGUGAGCCUCAUCUUUGAAGAAGUUUUAAAAGAUAAAAGUUAGACAACGGUAGUGAAUGAAGAAAUUUCCACUAUCGAGAAAAACAAACCUUGAGCUCGUAGACUUUUCAAAAGAAAAGAAGACCAUUGGUCUUAAAUGGGUAUACAAAAUAAAAUACAACCAAGACAGAUCAAUUCAAAAAUAUAAAGUACAAAUUGUCGCCAAAGGAUAGUCUCAACACCCAGAAAUUGAUUUCACAGAAACAUUCACUCCAGUUGUAAGAAUAGAGACGAUCCAUACAAUUAUGGCUUUAGGGCCACAAGUGGAGCUCAAUGUUUUCCAGCUUGAUGUAAAAUCAGCAUUUCUAAACGUCUAAAUACAGAAGAAGUAUAUGUCGAGUAACAUGAAGGUUUUGUAGUCAAAGAAAAAGAAGAUAAAGUUUAUCAUCUUCAAAAGGCAUUAUAUAGCUUCAAACAGGUACCCCGAGCAUGGAAUAGCAAAAUCAACAGCUAUUUUCUUCAAAAUGGUUUCAAGCAAAGCACAAGUGAAUCAUCCCUCUAUGACCAUAUCGAUAGUGAUUGGUAGGAUUGGUUGAUGAUCGGAAAAGCACUUCUAGAUACAUCUUUUGCCUUGGAUAAAAUGUGAUUUCCUUUAGCUCAAUAAAGCAGAAAUUUGUUACUUUACCGUCGAUAGAAAUAGAGUACAUCGUCGCUAUAGAUUUAGCUUGUGAAGCAGUUUGGCUUAGAAGAAUUUUGAAAGAUUUAAAAUUUGAGCAGAAAGGACCACAACAAUUUAUUGCGAUAAAUGAACAAUUGCAAUGUAAAAAAAAAAAAAAAAAAUCAAUUUUCCAUGCUAGUUCAAAGCAUAUUGAAUUUUGACAUCACUUUAUAAAAGAUCUGGUAAAUCAAGAAGAAAUUUGCAUGAAAUUUAUAACUACCAACGAUCAACCGAUUGAGGUAAGUUGACAAAAUCAGUGACGAUUGAUAAGUUCGAGAAAUUCAAAAAUCAUUUGAAGAUUACAAAUUAAGAGGGAGUGGAGUGUUAAAAGUUCUAAAUUAGUUUGUAAUUUUCAAAGAAUUCAAAUCCAAUUAGAACUUUUCAACAAAUUUGAAACAUUCAAAGAAAGGUGAAAUAGAUAAGAUUUACAAUUCAAUUAUAUAUUGAAGCUGAAUAUUCAAAGAUGUAAGUUAGAAUUUUGAAAAACAACUACAGCUUUGAAUAUUUUGGAAAACACUUAUAGCUGUAAAUAAGGACGAAGACAGCUCCAAAUGAAGAAGAUAAAAUAUAGUUGUUAUCUUAUUGUAAUGAUAGAAAAUUCUUAGUCUCCAUUUUCUCUAUAAAAGGAAGGGAUGUAUUAGUUUGAUAAGAUAGGAGAAAUGUAAGAUAAUCUUCGUAAAAAAAGAAAAAAGAGAGAGAAUUGAGUGUGCUGUAGCAACUCACUUGUAAAACUUCCAAAUUUCAUAAUUAAAAUCUCCCUUUUUUCAUAAACUCUUUCUUUCAACACCCAACAAAUUUGGUAUUAGAGAAUAGGAAGAAAAUAAAAGUCAUAUCCAAUCAAAGACAAAACAAAAUCAACACUAGAGCCCCCUGGGCAUGGCGCAGUGGUAAAGCAGGAAGAUACUUUAUGGAGGUUCAAAUUUCUAAAGCAGCUAGAAAGCAACAUUUAUGUUGGAAGGUAGAUAUCUUGCGGAAACAAAUUCAUAGUGCACCUUGUCACCCCUUCGAGGUCCAUCUGCACGUCAUAAGGGGGGUCCAUAGUGAUGAGAACCACUUCUCGAAUAUUUGGUCCAAGUGUGUAUAAGCUGUGAACGCAUUCGAUUUACUUGAAUAGCAAAGCAAAGGAAAAGGUCAACACUCCUUAGAAUUAGUCAGGCGAAGUUCGGAUACCUGAGUCAUAAAAAUAAUAAUAAUAAUCAACACUAAAGACUUUCCUUCCUUCUAUAGAAAAAAUGGAGUAAUCUAGUUUUAAGAAUUUUCUACCAUUACAACAAGAUAAUAGCCGUAUUCUAUUCUCAUUUGCAACUGUGUUCUUUAUUUGGAGCUCCAGAAUGUUCGAGGCUAUUGCCUGGAGCUGAUUUUCAAAGUUCUAGCUUGCAUCUUUGAUUAUUCAACUUGAAUAUAUAAAUUGAAUUGUAAAUUUUAUCCAUAUGGCCUUUCUUUGUAUCUUCCUAAGUUGUUGAAGUAUUCUAAUUGGAUUUGAAUUCUUUGAAGAUUAUAAAUUAAUUUAAAACUUUUAACAUAUACAACAUAAUUCAUCAAAAAACUUCCAAAUAUAGAUUCACGGGUGUAUUUGUGUAACUUUGACAGGGGGCAAUGUUAUUUAUACAAUAAUGAUCGUGGUAGUGUGUCACAUGAUUCUUGGGAGGCCUGUAUAAUUGAUAUUCCCAUUGUUUAUCCAAAGAUGUUGGUAAUGGAUAAUUAGUGCUGACCAAAAGUGACUGAGGCAUAUAAAAUGGAUUAGAUCUCUAAUUAUUUCAUGGUAUUAUCAGAUUUUAAAUUAGACUAGACACAAUUUAAUGUUAUGAAUAUCUAGUUUUGCAAAUAAGUGGUGCAAAUAAUAUGCAUCCCACAGUUUCAUGGCACCUGUAUUAAUGUGGUGACCCGGUGGACUAUAAACAUAAUAACCAUGUGUAGCUGUAGCCCGUUGUUGUUCAUGUAAUGUUGAUUGGAUGCAAUAAUGUGCAGGGAUCAAAAGCAAGAAGGAAAAAUGGGGCUGACAUUCACAAAGCUGUUUAGCAGGCUUUUUGCUAAGAAGGAGAUGCGUAUUCUGAUGGUUGGUCUGGAUGCUGCUGGUAAGACCACCAUUCUGUACAAGCUCAAGCUUGGAGAGAUUGUCACUACCAUUCCUACAAUNNUUUUUUUUUUUUUUUUGUAUACCUCCUGUGAUGUAGUGUAAUUGUUAAAGCUGAGGCUACCCUUUAGUUCUUUUGCUCGAUUAUGAGUUGAAUACUGCUUAAUUUGUAUUUUUGGGGCUUUAUUAUUUUUGUGCAGGUUUUAAUGUCGAGACUGUUGAGUACAAGAACAUCAGUUUCACUGUUUGGGAUGUUGGUGGUCAGGACAAGGUGGGGAAAUUUUGUAUGUCUGUCUGAUUACUAUGCCUUCAUAAAAAUACAUGAAAUUAAAAUCAGGGUUCUAAAUUUUGACAUGAUCAACUUUUCCCUUUCUUCUCUCAUUUUUGGUGAUCCUUAUCAUCAUUGGUAUGGUAAAAGAAUACAAGGAUUAAUGUAUCCUGUAAUNUUAAAAUCAGGGUUCUAAAUUUUGACAUGAUCAACUUUUCCCUUUCUUCUCUCAUUUUUGGCGGUCCUUAUCAUCAUUGGUAUGGUACAAGAAUACAAGGAUUAAUGCAUCCUGUUAUCUUGUCCUUGGUGGAGCUUCUUGAAGUAGUCAUUUAACUAAUUCAUCCAUGUUUGCAGAUUCGUCCAUUGUCGAGGCACUAUUUCCAAAACACGCAGGGUCUCAUAUUUGUUGUGGAUAGCAAUGACAGGGACCGUGUUGUGGAGGCAAGAGAUGAGUUGCAUAGGAUGUUGAAUGAGGUAACAAAUUUUUCUAUCUUAACUCUGUUUAUUUGUUCAUUUUUUUAACUCCCAAGGCUACUGCUGGAUGUGAAAUAUGAGUCAAAAAUAGAAGCUCUUUUAGGCUGAGUCUAGGAGAUUGAUCAUUUAUGCAAAAAAAAUAAAAAAUAAAAAAUGGGGAAGUUUGAUUGUCUUUUUGAUAGACCCCUUUCUUCACUUCAAUGAGUAAUUGUUUAUAAAACAAGCAAUGUAGUGUCCAAUAAAUUGCAUGAUGUGGACAUGUGAUAUUGGUUAACAUGAUUCAUGUGCUAAGAUGAAUUAUGUAUCUUGUAAAAAACAAACACAUGAAACAGUUUCGAUGCUUCUAUAAAAAAUGUUUGACAAAACCGUAGAGAGAGAGAGAGAGAGAGAGAGAGAGAUAUUUUGCAUCAAGUUCAGGCUUUCAGCAGCUGAACAUAAUGAUGUUGACAAGUCUAUUUUUCCCUCUGACAAGAUAAUCUCUGCAGAAGGGGGGAUAAAGAAGCCAUAUAGUUGAUCGGUUGCUAUUGUAUCAUUUGCAUAACCUAAUGUCAUUUGAGCAAGUCUUUCUCUUAACUCUUUUUGUACAUUAUAUAAUAAGUGUAGAGACAAGACAAACAUGUCAAUAAUUUUAGCCAAUUUUCUCUAUUUUGUUAAUCGUGAAUUGGGCUUAAGUUGUGAUGUGCCAAGAUUUCCCAACCAUUGAACCAACUCCCUAUGCAAAAGCUUUUUGGCCAAUGGACACUUGACGAAUUGGUGACUUUUCCAAAUUGUGCACAUAAAGUAAAAACAAUAUAUUGACCUGUUGGCUGGAAUCUAUUU